This 253-nucleotide ribosomal RNA is filed under the name uncultured bacterium. Its description in RNAcentral is "partial 16S ribosomal RNA". It matches the Rfam family "Bacterial small subunit ribosomal RNA", at positions 524 to 776 of the family's 1533-position model. The record is from RNAcentral.
UACGUAGGGUGCAAGCGUUGUCCGGAAUUAUUGGGCGUAAAGAGCUCGUAGGCGGUCUGUCACGUCGGCUGUGAAAGCCUGGGGCUCAACCCCGGGCCUGCAGCCGAUACGGGCAGACUAGAAUUCGGCAGGGGAGACUGGAAUUCCUGGUGUAGCGGUGAAAUGCGCAGAUAUCAGGAGGAACACCUAUGGCGAAGGCAGCUCGCUGGGACGUUACUGACGCUGAGACGCGAAAGCGUGGGGAGCAAACAGG